UAACCUCUGACGAGAUACGUGAAUGUUG
Polaribacter sp. MED152 is the source of this 28-nucleotide regulatory RNA element. It matches the Rfam family "L19-Flavobacteria ribosomal protein leader". NCBI's taxonomy places the organism in Bacteria, Pseudomonadati, Bacteroidota, Flavobacteriia, Flavobacteriales, Flavobacteriaceae. The record is from Rfam.